Molecule: non-coding RNA, 87 nt
Organism: Plectosphaerella cucumerina
Lineage: Eukaryota; Fungi; Ascomycota; Sordariomycetes; Glomerellales; Plectosphaerellaceae
Source: the annotation of a GenBank genome assembly
GGUUUGAUGGUGUAGUUGGUUAUCACGUCAGUCUAACAUCUCAAGAUGGUUCACUGAAGGUCGGGAGAUCGAGCCUCCCUCGAAUCA